GAGUCCUGGGGCCACCUGCUCGGCGCGGUCCCUCUCUCUCUGGCUCAGUCCCCCCACCCCGAUACGUCUCCUCCUCUCAGAGGCUCCGAGGAAGGGCGUGGGCGCUGGAGGGAGCAGGGCUCAGCCGGGUGCCCCUCCCGCCAGGCCCCACCGGGGCUGAGCCUCUUCUGUCGCCCGCAGGAGACAGAACUCAAGGUGGAAGUACCGGAGUACCUGGGGCCGCUGAUGUUUGUGAAACUGCGCAAACGUCACUUCCUUCAGGUUCUGCAGCUGGAUCUCCGUGUAGGGCCCCGGAGCCGGGGACGAGGUCAGGUUCCCUUGUUACCGCUGGGUGGAGGUCGACGGCGUCCUGAGCCUGCCUGAAGGCACCAGGGCGAGAAGAGGCGCUCACCAAAAGUCACUGGCCAAGCCCUCCUCUGGCCUUCUAGGCCGUACUGUGGGCGACGACCCUCGAGGCCUGUUCCAGAAACACCAGGAAGAGGAGCUGGAAGAGAGAAGGAAGUUGUACCGUCUACAGAGGCUUUUCAUAGCCCUCAUCUUACUUGGCCAUCAGCACAGCUCUCGGAAGAAAGAACUGAAGGGCCAUGUUCAGAGAUCCCACAUCUUGAACUCGGGUCUUCUGACUGCGAGACCAGGGAUCUUUCCAUACUACCCUGAAGCUGGCCCUGUGUGUGGUGUAGAGUUCCUAGAUGACAAGACAGAGUCCAUGUCCUCAAGGAAUGUGCGGUUAUACGAAGGAUGCAGGCACAGAAACACACAAGCCCAGGGAUGGAAGGGUGGAGAAACGCCACCCUCUUGACGAAGAAGAGGGCUCUGGGCAGCCUGUGGCUGGAGAAGUUACCUCGGAUCCUUUAGCCAGAGCAAAUCCGCCCCCUAGUAGCAGCACGAUGCCCCAGGGCACUUUCUCCUGGGUUACCUUCCAAUCCAGCAGGGGAGGGGGAUAAAAUGGAGUUUUCCUUUCUGGGAAGAAAAAGAAACACACACACACACACACACACACACACACACA
Molecule: long non-coding RNA, 1009 nt
Filed under: Homo sapiens (human)
Lineage: Eukaryota; Metazoa; Chordata; Mammalia; Primates; Hominidae
Description: novel transcript
Source: RNAcentral